CCUACGGGAGGCAGCAGUGGGGAAUAUUGCACAAUGGGGGGAACCCUGAUGCAGCGACGCCGCGUGAGUGAAGAAGUACUUCGGUAUGUAAAGCUCUAUCAGCAGGGAAGAAAAUUACGGUACCUGACUAAGAAGCUCCGGCCAACUACGUGCCAGCAGCCGCGGUAAUACGUAGGGGGCAAGCGUUAUCCGGAUUUACUGGGUGUAAAGGGAGCGUAGACGGUUAUGCAAGUCUGAAGGGAAAGCCCCAGGCUCAAACAUGGGACUGCUUUGGAAACUGUAAAACUGGAGUGCAGGAGAGGUAAGCGGAAUUCCUAGUGUAGCGGUGAAAUGCGUAGAUAUUAGGAGGAACACCAGUGGCGAAGGCAGCUUACUGGACUGUAACUGACGUUGAGGCUCGAAGGCGUGGGGAGCAAACAGGAUUAGAUACCCGUGUAGUC
This 440-nucleotide ribosomal RNA is filed under the name uncultured bacterium. RNAcentral describes it as "partial 16S ribosomal RNA". It matches the Rfam family "Bacterial small subunit ribosomal RNA", at positions 338 to 795 of the family's 1533-position model. The record is from RNAcentral.